UGUGAACAGGGCACCCAGGAGUUUUC
RNAcentral lists this non-coding RNA (26 nucleotides) under Mus musculus (house mouse). The record is from RNAcentral. Lineage: Eukaryota; Metazoa; Chordata; Mammalia; Rodentia; Muridae.